UACAGAGGUCUCAAGCGUUGUUCGGAUUCAUUGGGCGUAAAGGGCGCGUAGGCUGCGGGGUAAGUCGGGUGUGAAAUCUCAGAGCUCAACUCUGAAACUGCACUCGAUACUGCUUUGCUUGAGGACUGGAGAGGAGAUUGGAAUUCACGGUGUAGCAGUGAAAUGCGUAGAUAUCGUGAGGAAGACCAGUGGCGAAGGCGGAUCUCUGGACAGUUCCUGACGCUGAGGCGCGAAGGCCAGGGGAGCAAACGGG
Molecule: ribosomal RNA, 253 nt
Filed under: uncultured bacterium
Lineage: Bacteria
Description: partial 16S ribosomal RNA
Rfam family: Bacterial small subunit ribosomal RNA
Source: RNAcentral